Molecule: long non-coding RNA, 1043 nt
Organism: Esox lucius (northern pike)
Lineage: Eukaryota; Metazoa; Chordata; Actinopteri; Esociformes; Esocidae
Source: Ensembl
UCUGUCCGUCCUAAAUACACGUCCACCCGUCUCGUAGCGUUCAUCUAAUUCAGUUCCUAGUCACCUCUUAUUUCGGAUGCUGCCACGCCUUUGCCGGUGCCAGACAGAUGUACGCACGCAUAGACUCAUAGUCACCCAAGGCCGACUUCAACUCUCAAUCAUGCUGUGAAAUUGACGUCGACAAUUCAAUUCCAGCACCAAAGCCAGUCAAUUUGCCUUUGACCCUGAUAGGUCUCCAUAGCCGAGUAAAGAUAGGUCUCAUCCACAUCCCGAGAAAAGUAACUGGCCAUUUCACAAUUUACAAUCUUCUUGUCCUCUUUCCUUGCUACUAUCUCAAAAGUAAUUGGAUUAGAAAGCCAUCCCUCUGACCAUCUCUUCCGAUGGUGAGCUCCUUUGCAGACAUCAUUUCCAUGUCCCUGAAAGCUCUACUGAGAUUCCUAUUAAACACUUUUUUCUACUCUGUUUCACGGUUUUACAUUCAUUUCCUUCUUCUCGUCACCCAAACCCAAACUGUCCUCCCUCUUCACUCUUUCCCAAGCUGCCACAAACAGCUUCUUCCUUCCCUCCAUGACUCUCUACCCCAUCUCUCUCCGGUCUCUCUUCCUUCCCUGUCUCUCUUCAUUCCCUGUCUCUCUUUCUCUCCUUGCGGUCUCGUCUGUGCCCAUUCUCCUCUCCUGACUCUCCAUCCCUCCUCCCGUCCUCCUCUCACCAUCCUCUCCCACCCCCCGCUCUUGUCUGAGUGUUAUUAGGUAGUGGUGAGAUCUUCCCAGCACCUUUCUGCAGGGAACACAGAUGAAUGUUUGACUAAAUCAGAGGGACACGUGGACCUCCCUCAGAACACACCUCUCUGUUCCUCCGUUUAAUGUUCCUGUCUGGUCCCCAAGUGUUGGAUUUGGUCCUGCGUCGUAGCACUCGUCGCACCGUAGCACCGUCACCAUGGUAGUCGACUGGCCUUUGGCUGGCAAAAGAAGAGGUGAGGGAUGAAAUGACAUGUAGAGAAGAUGGAGAGGAACGGACGACGGCGAGGAGAGGACGAGGAGACG